This 468-nucleotide ribosomal RNA is filed under the name uncultured bacterium. Its description in RNAcentral is "partial 16S ribosomal RNA". It matches the Rfam family "Bacterial small subunit ribosomal RNA", at positions 28 to 507 of the family's 1533-position model. The record is from RNAcentral.
GACGAACGCUGGCGGCGUGCUUAACACAUGCAAGUCGAACGGAAAGGCCCUGCUUUUGUGGGGUGCUCGAGUGGCGAACGGGUGAGUAACACGUGAGUAACCUGCCCUUGACUUUGGGAUAACUUCAGGAAACUGGGGCUAAUACCGGAUAGGAGCUCCUGCUGCAUGGUGGGGGUUGGAAAGUUUCGGCGGUUGGGGAUGGACUCGCGGCUUAUCAGCUUGUUGGUGGGGUAGUGGCUUACCAAGGCUUUGACGGGUAGCCGGCCUGAGAGGGUGACCGGCCACAUUGGGACUGAGAUACGGCCCAGACUCCUACGGGAGGCAGCAGUGGGGAAUAUUGCACAAUGGGCGGAAGCCUGAUGCAGCAACGCCGCGUGCGGGAUGACGGCCUUCGGGUUGUAAACCGCUUUCGGCUGGGACGAAGCGUGAGUGACGGUAAUGGGUAAAGAAGCACCGGCUAACUACGUG